RNAcentral lists this ribosomal RNA (460 nucleotides) under uncultured bacterium. RNAcentral's name for it is "partial 16S ribosomal RNA". It matches the Rfam family "Bacterial small subunit ribosomal RNA", at positions 338 to 795 of the family's 1533-position model. The record is from RNAcentral.
CCUACGGGAGGCAGCAGUGAGGAAUAUUGGUCAAUGGGCGCAAGCCUGAACCAGCCAAGUCGCGUGAAGGAUGACUGCCCUACGGGUUGUAAACUUCUUUUAUAAAGGAAUAAAGUGAGGCACGUGUGCCUUUUUGUAUGUACUUUAUGAAUAAGGAUCGGCUAACUCCGUGCCAGCAGCCGCGGUAAUACGGAGGAUCCGAGCGUUAUCCGGAUUUAUUGGGUUUAAAGGGAGCGUAGAUGGGUUGUUAAGUCAGGUGUGAAAGUUUGCGGCUCAACCCUAAAAUUGCAAUUGAUACUGGCAGCCGUGAGAACAGUUGAGGUAGGCGGAAUUCGUGGUGUAGCGGUGAAAUGCUUAGAUAUCACGAAGAACUCCGAUUGCGAAGGCAGCCUACUAAAGGGCCACUGACAUUGAUGCUCGAAAGUGUGGGUAUCAAACAGGAUUAGAUACCCCUGUAGUC